UCUCCGUUGGUGAACCAGCGGAGGGAUCAUUACAGAGUUGCAAAACUCCCAAACCAUUGUGAACGUUACCUAUCCCGUUGCUUCGGCGGGCGGCCCGGGCCCCGCGCCCGGCGCCCCCCGGCCCCCCGUGGGCGCCCGCCGGAGGUAAACCAAACCCUUGAAUUGCAUGGCCUCUCUGAGUCUUCUGUACUGAACAAGUCAAAACUUUCAACAACGGAUCUCUUGGUUCUG
This 231-nucleotide unclassified non-coding RNA is filed under the name plant metagenome. Its description in RNAcentral is "partial contains small subunit ribosomal RNA, internal transcribed spacer 1, and 5.8S ribosomal RNA". The record is from RNAcentral.